RNAcentral lists this ribosomal RNA (629 nucleotides) under Kissenia capensis. RNAcentral describes it as "eukaryotic LSU rRNA". The stretch from base 263 to 418 matches the Rfam family "5.8S ribosomal RNA". Lineage: Eukaryota; Viridiplantae; Streptophyta; Magnoliopsida; Cornales; Loasaceae. The record is from RNAcentral.
UCGUAACAAGGUUUCCGUAGGUGAACCUGCGGAAGGAUCAUUGUCGAGACCCGCAACAGCAGAGCGACCGCGAACACGUGACGAACGACGGUGGUGCCCUCGGGUGCCCCGUGGCCGCUGCUCGCCCGGGCUCUCCCGGGCCGCAGCGGCCCAACAACGAACCCCGGCGCGGACUGCGCCAAGGAAAACAAACGAGGAGGUCCUCCCGAGUUGCCCCGUUCGCGGGUGCGACCGGGCGGCGGCUUCACUAGCGAAACACGACGACUCUCGGCAACGGAUAUCUCGGCUCUCGCAUCGAUGAAGAACGUAGCGAAAUGCGAUACUUGGUGUGAAUUGCAGAAUCCCGUGAACCAUCGAGUCUUUGAACGCAAGUUGCGCCCGAAGCCACUAGGCCGAGGGCACGUCUGCCUGGGCGUCACGCAAAGCGUCGCCCCCCGGCCCCUCCACGGGCGCCUUGGGGGGCGGAGGAUGGCCCCCCGUGAGCUUAGGCCACGGCCGGCCGAAAAGCGGAGUCACCCCGGCGGCGGGUCGUCACGACAGGUGGUGGUUGUACAAGCUCAUCGCGUCCUGCCGUGCGAGCGCCCGUCCCGGGGCGAAGCUCCCCCGACCCAUUAGCGCCUCUCGAACGC